This 440-nucleotide ribosomal RNA is filed under the name uncultured bacterium. Its description in RNAcentral is "partial 16S ribosomal RNA". It matches the Rfam family "Bacterial small subunit ribosomal RNA", at positions 338 to 795 of the family's 1533-position model. The record is from RNAcentral.
CCUACGGGAGGCAGCAGUGGGGAAUUUUGCGCAAUGGGGGAAACCCUGACGCAGCAACGCCGCGUGCGGGACGACGGCCCUCGGGUUGUAAACCGCUUUCAGCAGGGAAGAUCCAAGACGGUACCUGCAGAAGAAGCUCCGGCGAACUACGUGCCAGCAGCCGCGGUCAUACGGAGGUGGCGAGCGUUAGCCGGAACGAUUGGGCGUAAAGGGGGCGUAGGCGGCCUGCUAAGUCUGGGGUGGAAGGUACCGGCUCAACCGGUACGGGACGUGGAAACUGGCGGGCUAGAGGGCGCGAGAGGGAGGUGGAACGACAUGUGUAGCGGUGAAAUGCGUAGAUAUAUGGAAGAACACCGGUGGCGAAGGCGGCCGCCUGGCCUGUUACUGACGCUGAGGCACGAAAGCGUGGGGAGCAAAUAGGAUUAGAUACCCCAGUAGUC